AUCCAGCUGACGAGUCCCAGUUGGGAUGAGAUGCGUAUCCUGGAU
This 45-nucleotide non-coding RNA is filed under the name Schistosoma margrebowiei. Lineage: Eukaryota; Metazoa; Platyhelminthes; Trematoda; Strigeidida; Schistosomatidae. The record is from RNAcentral.